UACGUAGGUGACCAGCGUUGUCCGGAUUUACUGGGCGGAAAGAGCGCGCAGGCGGUCGUUCAAGUCGAGUGUGAAAGCCCCCGGCUCAACUGGGGAGGGUCACUCGAUACUGAUCGACUGGAAGGCAGGAGAGGGAAGCGGAAUUCCCGGUGUAGUGGUGAAAUGCGUAGAUAUCGGGAGGAACACCAGUGGCGAAGGCGGCUUCCUGGCCUGUUCUUGACGCUGAGGCGCGAAAGCUAGGGGAGCAAACGGG
This 253-nucleotide ribosomal RNA is filed under the name uncultured bacterium. RNAcentral's name for it is "partial 16S ribosomal RNA". It matches the Rfam family "Bacterial small subunit ribosomal RNA", at positions 524 to 776 of the family's 1533-position model. The record is from RNAcentral.